CUGGAAUGAUGAUGCUUAGCCAAAUCAGAUAUGUGCUCCAAGAGGCAUUUUGCUGUGGAACUCUGUUCAGCAGAUAGGGUGUCUCUUGUUGUAGCGCGUCUUAGACGAUAUCACAGGGAAUGGUUUUUGCUGACCAGA
RNAcentral lists this small nucleolar RNA (138 nucleotides) under Capsella rubella. Its description in RNAcentral is "small nucleolar RNA snoR127". It matches the Rfam family "small nucleolar RNA snoR127". The record is from Rfam by way of RNAcentral. Lineage: Eukaryota; Viridiplantae; Streptophyta; Magnoliopsida; Brassicales; Brassicaceae.